This 74-nucleotide transfer RNA is filed under the name Methanobrevibacter smithii. Its description in RNAcentral is "tRNA-Ile". It matches the Rfam family "tRNA". From Rfam's summary of the family: Transfer RNA (tRNA) molecules are approximately 80 nucleotides in length. Their secondary structure includes four short double-helical elements and three loops (D, anti-codon, and T loops). Further hydrogen bonds mediate the characteristic L-shaped molecular structure. tRNAs have two regions of fundamental functional importance: the anti-codon, which is responsible for specific mRNA codon recognition, and the 3' end, to which the tRNAs corresponding amino acid is attached (by aminoacyl-tRNA synthetases). tRNAs cope with the degeneracy of the genetic code in two manners: having more than one tRNA (with a specific anti-codon) for a particular amino acid; and 'wobble' base-pairing, i.e. permitting non-standard base-pairing at the 3rd anti-codon position. Lineage: Archaea; Methanobacteriati; Methanobacteriota; Methanobacteria; Methanobacteriales; Methanobacteriaceae. The record is from RNAcentral. RNAcentral also lists the same sequence under 2 other names.
GGGCCUUUAGCUCAGUUGGUUAGAGCAGUGGACUCAUAAUCCAAAGGUCACAGGUUCAAGCCCUGUAAGGCCCA